This 209-nucleotide long non-coding RNA is filed under the name Elaeis guineensis (African oil palm). RNAcentral's name for it is "long non-coding RNA (EGUI_LNC040538)". Lineage: Eukaryota; Viridiplantae; Streptophyta; Magnoliopsida; Arecales; Arecaceae. The record is from RNAcentral.
AGAGAGAGAGAGAGAAUUCAACUAAAUUUUAGCCCAAACUUAUUACUAUUGGUAUUUCAAAGCAAUACAACUAGUAUUUCAAAACACUUCAAUGAACACAUUUUAACCUUUACUUGAUGUUGUGAGCAGGAAGGCAAUUUCAUUGGGUGAGACCUGGAUGACCAGCUGAUGGGAAAUUCAAAUUGUUGGUCUGGCACCACAGCUAAAGC